UACGAAGGGGGCUAGCGUUGCUCGGAAUGACUGGGCGUAAAGGGCGCGUAGGCGGUUCGGACAGUCAGAUGUGAAAUUCCUGGGCUUAACCUGGGGGCUGCAUUUGAUACGUGCGGGCUUGAGUGCGGAAGAGGGUCGUGGAAUUCCCAGUGUAGAGGUGAAAUUCGUAGAUAUUGGGAAGAACACCGGUGGCGAAGGCGGCCAACUGGGCUGUAACUGACGCUGAGGCGCGAAAGCGUGGGGAU
Molecule: ribosomal RNA, 245 nt
Filed under: uncultured Gluconacetobacter sp.
Lineage: Bacteria; Pseudomonadati; Pseudomonadota; Alphaproteobacteria; Acetobacterales; Acetobacteraceae
Description: partial 16S ribosomal RNA
Rfam family: Bacterial small subunit ribosomal RNA
Source: RNAcentral